This 406-nucleotide ribosomal RNA is filed under the name uncultured bacterium. Its description in RNAcentral is "partial 16S ribosomal RNA". It matches the Rfam family "Bacterial small subunit ribosomal RNA", at positions 30 to 526 of the family's 1533-position model. The record is from RNAcentral.
AUUGAACGCUGGCGGCAGGCCUAACACAUGCAAGUCGAACGAGUGGCGGACGGGUGAGUAAUGUCUGGGAAACUGCCUGAUGGAAGGGGAUAACUACGGGAAACGGUAGCUAAUACAGCAUACCAUCAGAUGUGCCCAGAUGGAAUUAGCUAGGUGGUGAGGUAACGGCCCACCAAGGCGACUAUCCCUAGCUGGUCUGAGAGGAUGACCGGCGACACUGGAACUGAUACACGGUCCAGACUCGUACGGGAGGCAGCAGUUGGGAAUAUUGCACAAUGGGCGCAAGCCUGAUGCAGCCAUGCCGCGUGUAUGAAGAAGGCCUUCGGGUUGUAAAGUACUUUCAGCGGGGAGGCGUUACCCGCAGAAGAAGCACCGGCUAACUCCGUGCCAGCAGCCGCGGUAAUUC